Molecule: ribosomal RNA, 231 nt
Filed under: uncultured bacterium
Lineage: Bacteria
Description: partial 16S ribosomal RNA
Rfam family: Bacterial small subunit ribosomal RNA
Source: RNAcentral
AACGUAGGUGGCGAGCGUUAUCCGGAUUUACUGGGCGUAAAGCAUGUGCAGACGGGUUGGUAAGUGGUGUAUGAAAGCGUCCGGCUUAACCGGGCAAGGGUAUGACCAGACUGCCAGUCUUGAGAAUGGGAGAGGGAUGUGGAAUUCCGGGUGUAGUGGUGAAAUGCGUAGAGAUCCGGAGGAACCCCAGAGGCGAAGGCGGCGAUCCGUGGCCCAUUUCGUGACGUUCAG